This 460-nucleotide ribosomal RNA is filed under the name uncultured bacterium. Its description in RNAcentral is "partial 16S ribosomal RNA". It matches the Rfam family "Bacterial small subunit ribosomal RNA", at positions 338 to 795 of the family's 1533-position model. The record is from RNAcentral.
CCUACGGGAGGCAGCAGUGAGGAAUAUUGGUCAAUGGCCGGAAGGCUGAACCAGCCAUGCCGCGUGAAGGUCAGUGCCCUAUGGGCGUUAAACUUCUUUUGUGCGGGAGCAAUAAUGGUCACGUGUGGCCAGACGAGAGUACCGUACGAAUAAGCAUCGGCUAACUCCGUGCCAGCAGCCGCGGUAAUACGGGGGAUGCAAGCGUUAUCCGGAUGUAUUGGGUUUAAAGGGUGCGUAGGCUGUGAGGUAAGUCAGCGGGGAAAUGCCCCCGCUCAACGGGGUGAAGUGCCAUUGAUACUGCCUUGCUGGAAUGCGGAUGCGGUGGGAGGAAUGUGUGGUGUAGCGGUGAAAUGCAUAGAGAUCACACAGAACACCGAUUGCGAAGGCAUCUCACGAAUCCGCGAUUGACGCUGAUGCACGAAAGCGUGGGUAUCAAACAGGAUUAGAUACCCUUGUAGUC